GGUGAACGCUGGCGGCGUGCCUAACACAUGCAAGUCGAGCGGUACAGUUUGAAGCUUCGGUGGAGAGCUGUAUAGCGGCGGACGGGUGAGUAAAGCGUAGGAACGUGCCCCUCGGAGUUGGAUAGCCAUGGGAAACUGUGGGUAAACCGACAUAGACUCGGGAGAGUAAAGGCCGAAAGGCGCCGAGGGAGCGGUCUGCGUCCCAUCAGGUAGUUGGUAGGGUAAAGGCCUACCAAGCCGACGACGGGUAACCGGUCUGAGAGGAUGGCCGGUCACAAGGGCACUGAGAGACGGGCCCUACUCCUACGGGAGGCAGCAGUGGGGAAUUUUGGACAAUGGGCGCAAGCCUGAUCCAGCAAUGCCGCGUGCAGGAUGAAGGCCUUCGGUUGUAAACUAGCUUUGUUACGGAACGAAACGGUGAGCUCUAAUAAAGACUUGCUAAUGACGGUACCGUAAGGAAUAAAGCAACCGGCUAACUAACGUGCCAGCAGCCGCGGUAAAGAGUAAGUACA
RNAcentral lists this ribosomal RNA (512 nucleotides) under uncultured bacterium. RNAcentral describes it as "bacterial SSU rRNA". It matches the Rfam family "Bacterial small subunit ribosomal RNA", at positions 28 to 536 of the family's 1533-position model. The record is from RNAcentral.